This 253-nucleotide ribosomal RNA is filed under the name uncultured bacterium. RNAcentral's name for it is "partial 16S ribosomal RNA". It matches the Rfam family "Bacterial small subunit ribosomal RNA", at positions 524 to 776 of the family's 1533-position model. The record is from RNAcentral.
UACGGAGGGUGCAAGCGUUGUCCGGAUUUAUUGGGUUUAAAGGGUGCGUAGGCGGCCCGUUAAGUCAGUGGUGAAAGCCUCCAGCUCAACUGGAGAACUGCCAUUGAUACUGGCGGGCUUGAGUACAGACGAGGUUGGCGGAAUUGAUUGUGUAGCGGUCAAAUGCAUAGAUACAAUCAAGAACACCGAUUGCGUAGGCAGCUAACUAGGCUGUAACUGACGCUGAGGCACGAAAGCGUGGGGAGCGAACAGG